GAGGAAAUUAGAGUGUUCACGGCAGGCAAACGCCUUGAAUACAUUAGCAUGGAAUAAUAAUAUAGGAUCUCGGUUCUAUUUUGUUGGUUUCUAGAGCUGAGGUAAUGAUUAAUAGGGAUAAUUGGGGGCAUUCGUAUUAACACGUCAGAGGUGGAAUUCUUGGAUUGUGUUACGACGAACUACUGCGAAAGCAUUUGCCAAGGAUGUUUUCAUUGAUCAAGAACGAAAGUUAGGGGAUCGAAGACGCUUAGAUACCGUCGUAGUCUUAACCAUAAACUAUGCCAACUAGAGAUUGGAGGUCGUUCUUUUUUUGACUCCUUCAGCACCUUAUGAGAAAUCAAAGUCUUUGGGUUCCGGGGGGAGUAUGGUCGCAAGGCUGAAACUUAAAGGAAUUGACGGAAGGGCACCACCAGGAGUGGA
Molecule: ribosomal RNA, 420 nt
Filed under: uncultured marine eukaryote
Lineage: Eukaryota
Description: SSU rRNA
Rfam family: Eukaryotic small subunit ribosomal RNA
Source: RNAcentral